This 301-nucleotide ribosomal RNA is filed under the name uncultured bacterium. RNAcentral's name for it is "partial 16S ribosomal RNA". It matches the Rfam family "Bacterial small subunit ribosomal RNA", at positions 509 to 807 of the family's 1533-position model. The record is from RNAcentral.
CAGUCGCCGCGGGAAUACAGAGGGUGCGAGAGUUAAUCGGAUUUACUGGGCGUAAAGCGUGCGUAGGCGGCUUUUUAAGUCGGAUGUGAAAUCCCUGAGCUUAACUUAGGAAUUGCAUUCGAUACUGGGAAGCUAGAGUAUGGGAGAGGAUGGUAGAAUUCCAGGUGUAGCGGUGAAAUGCGUAGAGAUCUGGAGGAAUACCGAUGGCGAAGGCAGCCAUCUGGCCUAAUACUGACGCUGAGGUACGAAAGCAUGGGGAGCAAACAGGAUUAGAUACCCGUGUAGUCCCUGUCUCUUAUAC